UUGGUUUCGUUUUGUUUGUGGAAAGCAUAGGCCGGUUAAAGCUGUACUAUUCCUAUUAUAAGUUGGGUUCAGAUAAGGUUUUUCACACUAAAGCAAGUUUAGCGGAUGGGAUGGGUUUGGUUACCGAUAUCCAGACCGAAGUCCUUCCAUCAGUAAAUAAAUGUAUUAAACAGGUACGCGGGUCGAAAAAGCAAUACCAGCCGAAGCUAAUAUCACUUUUUAUAAGUUGGGUGUGGUAAUGAUCCUUCCGCAGGUUCACCUACGGAAA
This 268-nucleotide unclassified non-coding RNA is filed under the name uncultured fungus. RNAcentral describes it as "sequence contains ITS1". The record is from RNAcentral. Lineage: Eukaryota; Fungi.